AAACGUAGGGGGCAAGCGUUGUCCGGAAUUACUGGGUGUAAAGGGCGCGUAGGCGGUUCCUUAAGUCAGGUGUGAAAGACCGAGGCUUAACUUCGGGUGUGCACUUGAAACUAGGGAGCUUGAGUGUGGGAGAGGAAAGUGGAAUUCUCGGUGGAGCGGUGAAAUGCGUAGAUAUCGGGAGGAACACCAGUGGCGAAGGCGGCUUUCUGGCCCACAACUGACGCUGAGGCGCGAAAGCUGGGGGAGCAAACAGGAUUAGAGACCCUGGUAGUCCCAGCUAUAAACGAUGGAUACUAGGUGUGGGGGGUUCGACCCCCUCUGUGCCGCAGUUAACGCAUUAAGUAUCCCAUCUGGGGAGUACGGCCGCAAGGCUAAAACUCAAAUGAAUUGACGGGG
Molecule: ribosomal RNA, 396 nt
Filed under: uncultured bacterium
Lineage: Bacteria
Description: partial 16S ribosomal RNA
Rfam family: Bacterial small subunit ribosomal RNA
Source: RNAcentral